AUGAUUCAUUUCGAUCCUGUUUAUAUACAGGAAGCUUAUGCUGUAUCUCUUUCAGCAAAUGUAUUUCCCUCAAUUAUCUCUUUCAGAAGAAAACAAGAAUCUAUAAUCCUCAUGAUUUUCAAGUCGUGUUUAGAGGCACAAAUUAUACCAGAACGGCCUUGCAAGGAAAUCAUGUUUGCCAAACUGCACUGCAAGAUGUUGGAAACCCUGUCAAAGCUUGAAUUUGAAACCUUUGUUGAGCUCACCCAAGUAAAUUUACACAGGGAGGGGAGUGCAAUUAAUCAGAAGCAGAGCAUAUCAUUCCAACAUCACAAUGAAUCUACAGCAGAAGGAGAGCAAAUUUUUGAGAAUGCAUCUUUUCCCCAUUUUAUUAGUUAUUCUAUACCUAGCAGUUUACUUUGCAAGUGUGCUUUCAAGCAGCUGGUUCAACUUCUAGAAGGAUAG
RNAcentral lists this ribosomal RNA (444 nucleotides) under Triticum aestivum (bread wheat). RNAcentral describes it as "partial small subunit ribosomal RNA". Lineage: Eukaryota; Viridiplantae; Streptophyta; Magnoliopsida; Poales; Poaceae. The record is from RNAcentral.